GAUGAAGAACGUAGCGAAAUGCGAUAAGUAAUGUGAAUUGCAGAAUUCAGUGAAUCAUCGAAUCUUUGAACGCUCAUUGCGACCUCUGGUAUUCCGGGGGGCAUGCCUGUUCGAGCGUCAUUACAACCCUCAAGCUUUGCUUGGUAUUGGACAUUGCCAGUUUCUGGCAGGUCUUAAAAUCAGUGGCGGUGCCAUUUGGCUUCAAGCGUAGUAAUUCUUCUCGCUUUGGAGAUCCAGGUGGUUACUUGCCAAUAACCCCCAAUUUUUUCAGGUGGAACUCGGAUCAGGUAGGGAUACCCGCUGAACUUAAGCAUAUCAAUAAGCGGAGGA
This 330-nucleotide unclassified non-coding RNA is filed under the name soil metagenome. RNAcentral describes it as "partial contains 5.8S ribosomal RNA, internal transcribed spacer 2, and large subunit ribosomal RNA". The stretch from base 1 to 120 matches the Rfam family "5.8S ribosomal RNA", at positions 35 to 154 of the family's 154-position model. The record is from RNAcentral.